This is a non-coding RNA of Phrynosoma platyrhinos (Desert horned lizard), 73 nucleotides long. The record is from the annotation of a GenBank genome assembly. NCBI's taxonomy places the organism in Eukaryota, Metazoa, Chordata, Lepidosauria, Squamata, Phrynosomatidae.
ACCAGCAUAGUUUAAUGGUUUGAAUGUUGGACUGUGACUCUGGACAACUUGGGUUCGAUUCCCAUCUCGGCUG